GCAUAAAAAAAAUGUGCAGAUGUACUAAACUGAGCCUCACACUUGUUGAUAAGGAGUAUCUUUCCUACCAAAAAAGUUUGGCAAAUGUAAUUCAUCAAGAAGAUCAGCCGAAUUAUUUUGUGUAUUAUAACGCCAGUUAGAACUCUGAAUUUCCCCUACUUUCACUUUCAUUUUUAGAGGUUGCCGCAGACAGACGCAUUUUGCCGGAAAACGAAUCUGACAUGCCACCUCGAGAUUUUGACCAAGGAAAGACAAGUUGAUGUGCUUUGAUUUGAGGGGUCACUCACUGCUGAACGAAAAUUAGGGACAUCGCUUUGAGAAGAAACGUUAACAUUGUCGCCUAUGGGAAAACAAUUAGUGGACUGUACCCAUAUUGGGAAGCCUAUAAGGUCAUGGUCAUUGGUACAGGAAAACCAUGAGGUUCAUGUAGGUGGUGUUUAAAACUAUUGGCCAGCAAACACACACCCAUUUGAAAACAUCUUGAAACUUCACGGUCACCAGCAAAAAGUGGCAGUUGGCAAAAUGUAGGUUGCCGCAGACAGACGCAUUUUGCCGGAAAACGAAUCUGACAUGCCACCUCGAGAUUUUGACCAAGGAAAGACAAGUUGAUGUGCUUUGAUUUGAGGGGUCACUCACUGCUGAACGAAAAUUAGGGACAUCGCUUUGAGAAGAAACGUUAACAUUGUCGCCUAUGGGAAAACAAUUAGUGGACUGUACCCAUAUUGGGAAGCCUAUAAGGUCAUGGUCAUUGGUACAGGAAAACCAUGAGGUUCAUGUAGGUGGUGUUUAAAACUAUUGGCCAGCAAACACACACCCAUUUGAAAACAUCUUGAAACUUCACGGUCACCAGCAAAAAAUGGCAGUUGGCAAAAUGUAGGUUGCCGCAGACAGACGCAUUUUGCCGGAAAACGAAUCUGACUUGCCACCUCGAGAUUUUGACCAAGGAAAGACAAGUUGAUGUGCUUUGAUUUGAGGGGUC
Long non-coding RNA from Saccostrea cuccullata (small rock oyster), 979 nucleotides. RefSeq lists it as uncharacterized. The record is from RefSeq and is a predicted model, not a curated record. NCBI's taxonomy places the organism in Eukaryota, Metazoa, Mollusca, Bivalvia, Ostreida, Ostreidae. The transcript is spliced from 5 exons.